Long non-coding RNA from Syngnathoides biaculeatus (alligator pipefish), 462 nucleotides. RefSeq lists it as uncharacterized. The transcript has 3 exons. The record is from RefSeq and is a predicted model, not a curated record. NCBI's taxonomy places the organism in Eukaryota, Metazoa, Chordata, Actinopteri, Syngnathiformes, Syngnathidae.
CUAUAUUGCCAGUCUCACAGAGCAUUCUUCAGUGCUAAGUCGGUUAGAGACGACACGAAAAUAUGUCUUAUAGCACGACGCCCAAAGUUUUGUCCGAUACCGUUUAACAUUUAGAAGAUAAGGAAGUGGACUGUUAACCCGCUUCCACUUGUCUUGGACAACUGGAUCUACACGGGUUUCUGACCUCCGGUGUAAUCUGGAGCUAAUUUACGGCGGCACGGAGCAGACAAAAGAAGGCUGCCUCGAGGUGUCUGACGCUCGUCUCGUUUCCAGCCAUCCCACAAUCCACCUGCCCGCACUCCUCCCAUCUUCCCGGCCGGCCAAACUCACCCAGUACCCCGGAGCCGGAGCUUAGCGGCGGGGUAGCGGCCGUCUCCGGCCUCUCCGCAUCUGCCUGCUGCGUUCGGUGUCGGUGGCGGCCGCUCUCGGGUCCGUCGCCGGCCGCUGUCGCACCACCGCCGC